Molecule: ribosomal RNA, 501 nt
Filed under: uncultured bacterium
Lineage: Bacteria
Description: partial 16S ribosomal RNA
Rfam family: Bacterial small subunit ribosomal RNA
Source: RNAcentral
AUUGAACGCUGGCGGCAUGCCUUACACAUGCAAGUCGAACGGCAGCACGGGAGCAAUCCUGGUGGCGAGUGGCGAACGGGUGAGUAAGGUAUCGGAACGUGCCCAGUCGUGGGGGAUAACGUAGCGAAAGUUACGCUAAUACCGCAUACGAUCUAUGGAUGAAAGCGGGGGAUCGCAAGACCUCGCGCGAUUGGAGCGGCCGAUAUCAGAUUAGGGUAGUUGGUGGGGUAAAGGCUCACCAAGCCGACGAUCUGUAGCUGGUCUGAGAGGACGACCAGCCACACUGGGACUGAGACACGGCCCAGACUCCUACGGGAGGCAGCAGUGGGGAAUUUUGGACAAUGGGCGAAAGCCUGAUCCAGCCAUGCCGCGUGCAGGAUGAAGGCCUUCGGGUUGUAAACUGCUUUUGUACGGAACGAAAAGGUUUGGGCUAAUAAGCUGAGCUCAUGACGGUACCGUAAGAAUAAGCACCGGCUAACUACGUGCCAGCCGCCGCGGUAA